This 57-nucleotide transfer RNA is filed under the name Bos taurus (domestic cattle). It matches the Rfam family "tRNA", at positions 8 to 63 of the family's 71-position model. Rfam says of the family: Transfer RNA (tRNA) molecules are approximately 80 nucleotides in length. Their secondary structure includes four short double-helical elements and three loops (D, anti-codon, and T loops). Further hydrogen bonds mediate the characteristic L-shaped molecular structure. tRNAs have two regions of fundamental functional importance: the anti-codon, which is responsible for specific mRNA codon recognition, and the 3' end, to which the tRNAs corresponding amino acid is attached (by aminoacyl-tRNA synthetases). tRNAs cope with the degeneracy of the genetic code in two manners: having more than one tRNA (with a specific anti-codon) for a particular amino acid; and 'wobble' base-pairing, i.e. permitting non-standard base-pairing at the 3rd anti-codon position. The record is from Rfam by way of RNAcentral. RNAcentral also lists the same sequence under 3 other names. Lineage: Eukaryota; Metazoa; Chordata; Mammalia; Artiodactyla; Bovidae.
UAGCUCAGUUGGUAAAGAAUCUGUCUGCAAUGCAGGAGACCCAGGUUAGAUUCCUGG